UAACAGUUCAGGCAGACGUAGUGAGAAGGACAGACCGAAGAGACGAGCCUUCAGCACAGCACAGCAUGGCAGAGAGAAGCACAACUGUCAGGGAGACGAUCCCGAUAAAAUACGAAAAUCAGCAAGAAAUGCGGCGGCCGCGCAGGUAGAAGACAAUGGAUAGCGCCCGUCUCACAUAUGGGAACCAUUGAAGUUAGAAAAAUGGGCUGAAAGAAGAAUACCAAUGUUUUGAUAUUUGAAAAAAUGUUUGUCAUCCGGAUGGUCGACCAAAUUUAUGACUAGGGGGAUUGGAAUGACCAAGACUUAAUCAAGGCAUGAACUGUCAUUCCCACCCAAUGAAAUAAGAAGACAGCUAUGUACCCAAUUCUACGGGAAGUGGCGACAACUGCUUUGUCAUCAAGAUGGCGACUGGGAUUUGGGAGCUAAUUGGAUUUUUGAAAAGCUAACUGCUUGGAUUUUUCUGGAUUUUAUUUGACUGUGUCAAUUAGAAUUACUUAAACUUUCACAUGGACUCUUGUGCUGGGGAUUCUUUGGACUCAGUUGUUUGAAUAGGCUAUUGUAAUAGUUGCUUUUACUGCAUUCAAUUACAGAGUGCUUUUCUACUUCUGUGAUUUCUUAAUGCGCUGUUAUUUAUAUUAAAUAAAACAAUGUUUUUUCACUA
Molecule: long non-coding RNA, 661 nt
Organism: Salvelinus sp. IW2-2015
Lineage: Eukaryota; Metazoa; Chordata; Actinopteri; Salmoniformes; Salmonidae
Source: RefSeq, a predicted model, not a curated record